AAAUCUUAUUAAUUUUAAACUGCAAAUUUAAAAAAGAAUCCAUUUCUAAGAUUUU
This 55-nucleotide transfer RNA is filed under the name Amblyomma ovale. Its description in RNAcentral is "tRNA-Cys". Lineage: Eukaryota; Metazoa; Arthropoda; Arachnida; Ixodida; Ixodidae. The record is from RNAcentral.